GAAGCGCUGGAACCAUUGAUAUCCUGUAAUUCGUUUCCACUUUGGGGUAGUGGGGGUCGUGGGUUCAAAUCCCGCCGCUCCG
RNAcentral lists this transfer RNA (82 nucleotides) under Cyanothece sp. SIO2G6. RNAcentral describes it as "tRNA-Pro". Lineage: Bacteria; Bacillati; Cyanobacteriota; Cyanophyceae; Gomontiellales; Cyanothecaceae. The record is from RNAcentral.